CAAAAACCAAGCUGCCUCCGGGCUCUGAAGGGGUUGGGGGCUUCAGGCUUCACACUAACUGUUUUCCAGGCACCAGAGGUUCCCAGCUGGGCCUUCCCCAGCACCCUUUUCCUGCAUGAAACCGUUCCUUUCACAGAGAUGAACCUCUUCUGUUUCGUCCUAACUUUCUACUCUGUCAUGCUCUUUGCUCGUCAACAUUUCCAGGCAUUCCUGAAGCUUCACAAAACACAGAGGGUAGAAGAGAGGGCUCUUGGAUGGGGUGGGCGAUUGUCCCAACCGCUCGCUGAUUCCUGUCAUCUGCAAGCUCAGGCAUCGCUGUUUGUGGCCAAAAGCCAGCUGGGGGGUCACCAGGCCCAUGGAGCCGCUGGUGAGCCAGUUGGAGCCCAUCUGAAUCUCCGUUCCCAGGGCCGCUUUGAAACGCAGCUGCCGCCAGAAAUGCCUGGUGAUCGUGGCCUCCCAGAGCCUCGGGGGUGGUUUCUCCCCACAGAGCUUCUGACAAGCAUCUGCACCGGGAAGUCUAGCCCCCAGCCUCCUGGCGGGUGGUCUCAGAUCUUCCAACCUGCCAGGCGUGGGGUGCCCGGGGCAGUGGGGGUGAGGAGAGGAGGGGAUGCUGGUGGCGUCCACCUGUAUCCUGGAGGCAAAACUGUCUUCUGUUUUCUCUACCAGCCGAGGUGACAUCUGAGACUGUCAGCCUCUCACUCAUCCUGGGAUAAGUAAAACAAUAAUAAUAAUAAUGGCUCAGCCUCACCUGGCACCUACUAUGUCCCCAAUACUGUGCCCAGCGUUUUAUGGAUGUUAACCCUGGCAACAACCCUGUGAGGUUACGUGUAAAACUGCCCCCAUUUUACAGAUGAGAAAACUAAGGCACGAUGAGUUUAAGUGAUCUGUCCAGGGUCAUGCCAUCCAUUGGCUACCAGGCUUCCCUGGUAGCUCAGAUGGUAAAGGAUCUGCCUAUAAUGCAGGAGACCCAGAUUCAAAUCCCUGGGUCGGGACGAUCCCCUGGAGAAGAGAAUGACAACUCACUCCAGUAGUCUUGCCUGGAGAAUUCCAUGGACAGGGGAGCCUGGCGGGCUACAGUUCAUGGGGUCGCCAACAGUCAGACACAGCUAAAUGACUAACACUUUCCCUUUCAUGCCAUUCAGGAAGUGGCUCACGGACGUGCUCACCACCCCCAGUGCCCCCCGCUGCAAUCCAGAGCAGCACACAGCCCCCGGGCUCUGCUCCGAGCAGGGGACAAAGGGCUUCAGCAGCCCAGGAUCAUCGAAGCUCUCCUGCUGGGACGCGGUCCCCACGCUGCCUCUCCCUGCAGCCUGGCCGGGUGCAACCUGGCCGGGCAGACGCUGCGGCCGGAUCCCUGGUGCUCUCGCUCUCCUGCUCAAGCCAGCCUGGGUCUCUUGUCUCAGGGGGUUCCACAGGAGGCCUGCUUCCUCGCUGUCAUCACCUCCCUCCCCAGGCUGACUCAUCCUUCUGCUCUGCUCCUCAGCCUCCUGCUCUGCUUCCUCCACCUCUCCUCCGUGGCCCUUCACCCCCCACCCAGGGCGCCUACUCCUCUUCAUCCCCUGGGCUCCACCCACAAUCCCCCCACCCUCUGCCAUCCUGGCCCCUGGAAUAACAGACCUCCUGGCCCAGAAUGUCCUGGGCCCUGGGUGUUCAGGGUCAAAGAUGAGAUGGUUGA
Molecule: long non-coding RNA, 1675 nt
Organism: Bos indicus x Bos taurus (hybrid cattle)
Lineage: Eukaryota; Metazoa; Chordata; Mammalia; Artiodactyla; Bovidae
Source: Ensembl